Molecule: ribosomal RNA, 418 nt
Filed under: uncultured bacterium
Lineage: Bacteria
Description: bacterial SSU rRNA
Rfam family: Bacterial small subunit ribosomal RNA
Source: RNAcentral
GGUGAGUAAUAUAUCGGAACGUGCCCAGUCGUGGGGGAUAACGCAGCGAAAGCUGUGCUAAUACCGCAUACGAUCUACGGAUGAAAGCGGGGGAUCGCAAGACCUCGCGCGAUUGGAGCGGCCGAUAUCAGAUUAGCUAGUUGGUGGGGUAAAAGCCCACCAAGGCGACGAUCUGUAGCUGGUCUGAGAGGACGACCAGCCACACUGGAACUGAGACACGGUCCAGACUCCUACGGGAGGCAGCAGUGGGGAAUUUUGGACAAUGGGCGCAAGCCUGAUCCAGCAAUGCCGCUUGCAGGACGAAGGCCUUCGGGUUGUAAACUGCUUUUGUACGGAACGAAACGGCGAGCUCUAAUAAAGUUCGCUAAUGACGGUACCGUAAGAAUAAGCACCGGCUAACUACGUGCCAGCAGCCGCG